Molecule: long non-coding RNA, 1144 nt
Filed under: Bos indicus x Bos taurus (hybrid cattle)
Lineage: Eukaryota; Metazoa; Chordata; Mammalia; Artiodactyla; Bovidae
Description: lncRNA (ENSBIXG00000015136.1)
Source: RNAcentral
CACUUUAUUAAUAUAGUGCAUGAAUUGUCUCUCAUAGUUCUUGAGCGUACCUGGCAGGUGGUUUUUGCUUAGAUUUCUCAUGGGUGGAUAUAGUCAGAUGGUGUCUCAGGCUACAGUCAUCUGAAGACUCAACUGGUUUUGAUAUCUAAGCACACUCACCUGGGUUGCAUUUAUUUUUGGCUUUUUGCUUAGAGCUCAGCUGAGGCUGCACCUGAAGUGUCUACACGUGGCCUCUCCAUGUGGCUUGGACUCCUUAAAGCAUGGCAGCAGGCCCCUAAGAGGGAGCAUCUGAAGAGAAAAUUGCAAGACGUUUUGUGAUAUGGCCACAGAAACUCCAGACUUCAGCUGGUUAAAACAAAUGCACUGAGCCCAGCCCAAAUUCAAGGUGAGGGAAAUUGGGUGACUCCUCUUGAUGUGAAGAAUAGCAUGUACACACAGGAUUGAGGGUUGUCAUCUAUGACUGUUUGCCAGUUCCUACUCUCUGAUGCCUUGAAAUCUAUCAAUACCAAUGCCCUAAACAAGAGAGCCUAGUAGAGUGGUGUGCCAGGUAGGUGAGAGGUAAAUAGACGCCUAGAGGCAGGGAGACCUGGCUUUGAAUCCGGGUGUUUCCAGCUACCAGCUGUGGAUCUUGGGCAAGUUGUUUAAUCUGUGUGAGCCUCAGUUGGCUCAUUUGUAAAGGAAUGAUAAUAUAUGCAUCUCCAUGUAUGGUUGUGGGAUUUGAAUGUUGCCCAGCAUAGAGUAAGCAUUCAGUGAUUGUUUGCUGUUAGAAAUAAAGGUGAAAAGAGGCUGUGCUUUGCUUCUCUAGCACACCUUGUUUACUCUGAUCCAGCAUCAAGGUGAACUCAGCUGUACAGCACCACUAACGUUCAGGUCUCCCCAGCAAGAAGAACAUGGAGUCGAGAAACUGCAGUCGGUUAAGAACAUAAGGACCACCAUCAGGGAGUUCAUAGGGAUGCUUCCUAAAAGCACAAGCUGGAAUCAAGAUUUCUAGGAGAAACAUCAAUAACCUCAGCUAUGCAGAUGACACCACCCUUAUGGCAGAAAGUGAAGAACUAAAGAGCCUCUUGAUGAAAGUGAAAGAGGAGAAUGAACAAGUUGGCUUAUAACUCAGCAUUCAGAAAACUAAGUUCAUGGCAUCUGGUCC